Molecule: long non-coding RNA, 1448 nt
Organism: Labeo rohita (rohu)
Lineage: Eukaryota; Metazoa; Chordata; Actinopteri; Cypriniformes; Cyprinidae
Exons: 3
Source: RefSeq, a predicted model, not a curated record
ACAUUUCAUGAAGAUGGGAAGCAUAUGACCUCUGGGACAAAGCAUUCUAGCACUGGCACAUAAAACAGGAGUCCAUAUCCUCUAUACUGUCAUAGAAUCCUCUCAAGCAGCCACGCCUCCCAUUACCAUAAAACCCAGAGUAGGAUUUGAACAACAUUUUGCAUUUGUUGCACUCUCUGAUGUCAAAGGGCACCUGCAAUUCAGCCUUGGAUGAUGCAUUCCACUUCUCCCAGCUCACAACACCUGCAGCCAAACACACACACACACACACACACGAGGGCAGUCUUAUUUUAACUACUUCACAUCUCCUUAUACAAUCGCUCAUUAGUGACAUAAUGAACGCAAUGUUGUAAUCAAACAUUACAACUAAUCAAAUAAGUAGGGAUGGGUAGAUCGACAUCUAGUGUCGACACACGUUUCGAGUUUUCUACACACUAGUGUUUCGAAACAGUGCUCCGAAGCCUUGCUCGAAUCGGUCUUUGUCAGAUGACGUCACACUCACGAGAAUCGAAUUGCAUUUUGGGUACCGCCGCCAUUUGUAAGGUAUCAAAGCCGAGGUGUUCUGUAGUUGCAGAAUUGUUUUUUUGAUUUGCUUCAAAAUUGUACGUUUUUGUUGUGUUAAAGUCAGCGAUGGUAAAUUACACGACAGAAAAGGUUAAAAACUGACAACGAGGAAAGAUAUUUUAGGUCUCCCACUUGAAGGAAACAUUAGACAACAUGCAGUGGAAAUAACCAAGAAGCGUCGGGUGGCCUGGGUAUCAGCAGUGAUAUACAAAGUCAUCAUAUUUGCCCUUGACAUUUUCAUAAAGGUUGGUGUGACUAAACCGUAAGAAAAAAAAAUAAACACAUUGCAGCCAGCUGAGAUGAUGACCCACCAGGCUGGAGGAGAUGGUCAGCUACACACUGAAGGCUGGAGGAGAUGGUCGACUUCACAAGACACCUCUCGAUGCCACAAACUGAAUGUAACUUGUGUGUACAUAGAAGAAAACGGACAGCUUUUCAUGUCAAACAUAAGGGAAAUUCUCACUUCAUUUUAAAUACUUCUGUUAACUUAAUGCACCUCAGAUUGGAUCUGCCUGCAUGAACACUGUUUUAUACAACUGUUACAGGCACAAAAUUAUCCCUGCUUUGAGAUUUUCACAGAGAAUCCAUUCGGUGUAAAAGUGUGUGCCAGACAGUGUUCUACCUACAAACUAUUAAUUAUUUGGCAGAUCAUCUAGCAAGAAUCCAUGUAGAAAGGGUCAUCAGAAAUGUUUGGCAGAAGCAUUAAAUCAUCAUCACAUUAUUUUUAAUAUUAUUAAUUUUAUUAUUUAUUUUCAUUUUAUUAUUACUCAACUUUCUUUGUAGUACUUGCACUGUGUCCACUUAGCAGUAUGUUGAUGUUCAUCAUGCUUGUCACAUCUUCUGUUUGCAUUUUUAAGCUGAUUUUUAACAGUGUUGCAUUUAUA